This 566-nucleotide long non-coding RNA is filed under the name Felis catus (domestic cat). RNAcentral describes it as "lncRNA (ENSFCAG00000047923.1)". The record is from RNAcentral. Lineage: Eukaryota; Metazoa; Chordata; Mammalia; Carnivora; Felidae.
UGCUUGCUUGAAGAAUAUGUGGAAUGUACAUCCUUGCUUCACUGACUUGAGGAUAGUCACAUGGCUUGCCUUGGUUAAUGGAAUAUUAGUGAAGAUGAGAAAACUGAGGCCAAGAAGAAGUCUAGAUUAUAAAUCCACAGACCAGAAAACCUCCACAGAAUCAGAAGUGCACAGGUAGAUAGCCAAUGAUUGACUAAUUGGGUAAUUAAAUGAUUUCAAGGCAAUUAAUCAGCUUCUCUGUGAUUUUUCUUGGAUUUCCUCAUGUAGUAACAAGAUGGCUUCUCCAUCUCUAAGGGGAUUUCACUUCCCAAAUCAACUCUCAGGGACACAAAGGCAAGAUAAAGCCUACAGAACUCACAUCAGCAUUUUGGAUAGUAACCUAGGGUGAAGUUUGCCCACUACAAGAUGCUAGCCUGACAAAACAUGAAACUUACUGGUACUCAAGAAUGGUUUUAGUCUGUUUUAUUAGGACUCUCUCUGUUGAUCAUUCUACAGUAUUUUUUCUUUUUAGGCAAACAACAUUUUUUUUAAAUAAAAUAGGACAAGGCAAAUAUGAGGUUAGAUGA